AGUAAGAAAAAUUGUUAAUGUUUCUCUUUACACAUUUUGUUCAGACUGUUUUACACCAAUCCAGUAGGUGGCGGUAAUUCCCCCAUUUCUGUUCUUAGCUUGUGGAAAGAAUAAGAAUCAGGGGAAAGUUACUUGAGAAAAUGGGUAAAAAAGAAGACAAGGAGCGAAAACGGAAGAAAACGGCGGUAACAUUGUCCCAAAAUAUUGGUGACUUGUUCAAAAAAAGGCCCAAAAUCGUAGAGAGAUAGACAAUAAAGGACAGCAACAUCAGAGACAGACAAUGGAGGGCAGCAACAGAGACAAUGGAACAAAGCAACAGACAACUGAGCUUACUUUGACCGAGAGUCAGUGAGCAGAAGGCGAAGAGGAGAAGGCAGAUGGCUGCAAUGCAGUACGGCUUCAUGUCUGAAUCUUUAGCCGGGUUCUCGAUCAGUGGAUGAAACCUCUGACUUCUCGUGCAGACAAUGAUCACCGUAUGAUCACUGGCCCAAUUUAUAACGGAGAGAAUCACAAGUGGGACUGCACCAUUUCCACGAACACACUUCUGACCACUGGGAAACAAGUGUCAUCACACUCUUUAGGGGAAAGAACCAUGAUGUGGUAGAACUUUCUGUACAACCCCUCCUCAUCUACACAUUGGCGACUGACGGAAACCACCUUUUAGCUGAUCAACCUGAAUUGCAAAAUAUCAAAAAGAAAUAUUCUUGUUAAAUCUGCAUGUAAGAUAUAUUGGCACAUUUUUGUAUAUAAAA
Molecule: long non-coding RNA, 752 nt
Organism: Astyanax mexicanus (Mexican tetra)
Lineage: Eukaryota; Metazoa; Chordata; Actinopteri; Characiformes; Acestrorhamphidae
Exons: 3
Source: RefSeq, a predicted model, not a curated record